CUUAUUCCGUUCUUCAUGCUUUGUAGGAUCGACUAUUUGUUCUCAAUCUGGAUUUACCAUCUUGGGUCAGAGUAAAGGGAAGAUUAGUUCGUUUUUUCAAGAAAUCAGACACGGAUCAAUAGGUUGUCACAAUUGAUCAGUUCACGGUUGCCAUGGCUUAUAUUUAGGAGGCCUUAGCCAGUCUCAAGUAGGAGUUAGACAGUCAGUAGAGUAGAUCGCCCGUAGUUCAGAAUGAAGUGCCUUAUGAUUCAUUACCACCUCCACCACCACCAACUGGUCCUACAGUGUCACAGGCCCCACCCUAUAUAUUACAUGGUCAUUCUGAGGUUACCCC
This 334-nucleotide long non-coding RNA is filed under the name Vitis vinifera (wine grape). RNAcentral's name for it is "long non-coding RNA (VVIN_LNC000894)". The record is from RNAcentral. Lineage: Eukaryota; Viridiplantae; Streptophyta; Magnoliopsida; Vitales; Vitaceae.